This 123-nucleotide transfer RNA is filed under the name Methanothrix sp. RNAcentral describes it as "tRNA-Ser". The record is from RNAcentral. Lineage: Archaea; Methanobacteriati; Methanobacteriota; Methanomicrobia; Methanotrichales; Methanotrichaceae.
GCCGGGGUGGCAGAGCGGACAAGCUCUGGGCCGUGCUCCAGCGGCAGAGGUCCAUACGCGGCAGGCUCGAGACCUGUUGUCCCUUCCAGGGACGCUUGGGUUCAAAUCCCAACCCCGGCGCCA